UACGUAGGGUGCGAGCGUUGUCCGGAAUUAUUGGGCGUAAAGAGCUUGUAGGCGGUUUGUCGCGUCUGCUGUGAAAAUCCGGGGCUCAACCCCGGACUUGCAGUGGGUACGGGCAGACUAGAGUGUGGUAGGGGAGACUGGAAUUCCUGGUGUAGCGGUGAAAUGCGCAGAUAUCAGGAGGAACACCGGCGGCGAAGGCGGCACUCUGGGCCGGUACUGACGCUGAGGAGCGAAAGCGUGGGUAGCAAACAGG
This 253-nucleotide ribosomal RNA is filed under the name uncultured bacterium. RNAcentral's name for it is "partial 16S ribosomal RNA". It matches the Rfam family "Bacterial small subunit ribosomal RNA", at positions 524 to 776 of the family's 1533-position model. The record is from RNAcentral.